CUUUGCUCAGCGAAGAAAUGUCGUCCGCACUUGUCGCGGCGAAAUAAACGGCGAAACAUGUCCGCUCCGGUGGUCAGUCGUGCGCAGACAGCCAGCAGUGCUGUACCAGCGGGAAUUGUCGGAUGUGUUGUUUGUAAGAGGAGCGACAAGUUGUUACGGUGUUCGCGGUGUAAGAUCGCAGUAUAUUGCACUAAGGAACAUCAGAGGUUGGAUUGGAAACGUCAUAAAGCAUUUUGCCAGAAACACCCACCACAUUUAAGUGUCACGGUCGAACCUAGUUACGAAACGACUCCUGGUUCUGAUAACUUCCUGGAGAACACGGUGGACAGGUCGAGCUUUGAUGCUAUUUCGAAUUUACGUGGAAUACUCUCAACAAAUUCGCAACUUUUGGCUAGUUCGGAAACCUCUCAGAAGGAUUCUGUCAACGAUAGUUACCUCAAAGGAAAUUCAUCAAUGAGUGGAGAAUUUUUACGGAAUUACGAAUAUACUGAAAAAAGUGUUGAUGAAAACAGAAGACAUCCUCGUGGAGCACGUGCAGACGGUUGGACGUCACCUAUAACCUACGAGGGUAGCUCUGAAGAUACCAUUCUUGGCGCUAGAGCCGAAUCCCUUAAUCCUGCUCUGGAAACCUCAGCGAUUUUGAGCACUGCUCAACACUCUGCAUUAGAAAUGCCGACACAUCAUCAUAAUGGCAUUAACAACUUCCCGGAGAUACAGCUCAACCGAGAAGAAGAUUUUUUACCACCAUUUCUGCACAGAAAUAGAAAUAAUUUGGACGAGCGCAUUAUAGAUCAGAUCUGUCGAAAUGUGAUAACGGACAUGGACCAAUAUGGAGUAUGUGUAGUGGACACUUUUCUUGGUGCUGAAAAGGGCAUGGCUGUGUUAAAUGAAGUUUUGAACAUGUAUAGUGCUGGAUUAUUUAAGGAUGGACAAUUAGUUUCUAACAAAGCUGGUGCCAGUGAUUUGAAGACCAUUCGUGGAGAUCAAAUUACUUGGCUGGAUGGCAAGGAAAAACAGUGCCAGAACAUUGGAAUGUUAAUAUCUCAAGUAGAUGCCAUUAUUAUGCGAGCGAACAAAAUGUAUAAUAAUGGAAGAAUUGGAAAUUACACAAUCAAUGGAAGAACCAAGGCCAUGGUGGCGUGUUAUCCUGGUUAUGGUUCCCAUUAUGUGAAACACGUGGAUAAUCCAAAUCGUGAUGGGCGAUGCAUCACUGCUAUCUAUUACCUUAAUAAAGACUGGGAUAUCAAGGUAAAGACGAUACUUGAGUACGUAAGGUGAAUAGUUUAGAGAAAAACGGUGGACUCCUCAGGAUAUUUCCUGAAGGCUGGCGCGAUCAGGUUGCGGAUAUAGAACCUCUGUUCGACAGAAUUCUCUUCUUCUGGUCAGAUAGAAGAAAUCCGCACGAGGUACAGCCAGCCUAUAAAACGAGAUACGCCAUUACGCUUUGGUACUUUGACGCUGAGGAGAGAAAUCAAGCUUGCCGAAGAUAUCAGAGAGAACGAGAAAUGCAUAACCAACCGAAAAAUUCGUGAGAUAUAGAGUCCGGAGGACCGCGUCGCCGUCCGAUGACUGAAAUUGUAACUUUAAUUUAUCGAUUUAUACAUCUGUAAAUAGUUGCGCACCCCCAAGAAGCAGCGGUACAUAAACUUUAUGUAAUAUUAUUAUGUAUUAAGAUAUGCCUGAUGAUCCUACUGGAGGAAUUGAAUAACGAUACGGAUAACUGAAACGAAACUGUAGUCUUUAAGGAUGUGCAAUAGGUUUAAGUGACUUUUUUCUACGAGCAACGCCACACGAUUAUCAAAUUUUCGAAAGUGCGUUCACGUGUCCAAAUGCAAAACGGGACUGUCACGCGUAUGCGCUCGUCUUUCCCGUGGGGCGCAAAAAUCUUGAAAACGAAAGACUUUGGGUAUUGAAUUACGCCCUAGAAGUUUUGAUGAUUUUUUUUCUUACAUUUUUUCUAUUGCCUUCGUCGACUUAAACCUUAAUAGUGUUGUGUCACUUGGUCGCGUUUACAUCGCGUAUGAAUUUUCUUACUUCAUAACGACGUUGGGAAUGUGCGAUUGGUAUUUAUUUCUUAUUUAAUGUCGUAACGAUAAGCUGUGCAUACGAAUUACCUGCAAUUGAAGAUUCCUCUUUAGGAGAACGAUUUAUAUAUCCUGCUAUCCGAGUCAUAUAUGUAUAUAUAUUUUUUAUUUUUAUCGUAGUCUGUGCAACGAAGAGAACCGGAUUCUUUAUCGUAUCGCAUAUAUCUGUGCGAAAAAGAAGAAAAAUAACUCAAAUAUACGGAUGACUUAAGCCCUCAAUAGUAAUUAUUAAAAUAAGAAAUGCCCCAAUUUCCUUCCGUGUUCACUCUUAGGAAAAUACUUGUACGCACUUCGUUAAAAACUUCUCUCUUUUAUUUCUCUCAGUGACACUUUAAAUUACAACGGGCCCGCGCGUCUCAGCGCUCUUCGUAUCGUCGCUCGCACGAAGUUUCAAGCGCCACGCGUUUCGUAUAAUGGGAAAACUAAGAGAAGAUAAUUCCGACUGUGGCCAGUAGAUAAAAUCGAUGCUUCCAGUGCAGUGAAGUAAGAUCUUUGUGACGCACAGCCUGUACCUGUAACAUUGUAUGUAUAUUGCGAAGCGAGCGAAGCACUGUUUAAUAUUGUAUGUAACUAUUUAUAUAAAAUAAUAGAUAUAAUAGAGUAUAUUGGUGUGUGUCCCACAAGUAGUAAGUUCGAUUCGAGGCUCGAUUAGUCAACGGGAGAUGCAGACUGACAAUGGAAGUGAAAUAACAGAUGAAUUACUGUAGAACAAAACUUGGCAUCGUAAUCCAGUUUUCUCUGUCAACCGCGAAUGAGACACGUUUAAGUUCUAAGGACUGCUACGAACUGAUAUUCCAUAGAAAACAGGAAUUCGAGAGGGACGAAAGAGACGGUUAGAAGAAGAAGAGUAAAAAGUGAACAACGCGAGGAAAAUGUCAAAUUGAUGAAGGGCGCUCUUUCCUUUAUACUCUCGGACACAGAAGAAACCCCGAUCAAUUACCCAGUAUCCUUUGACAAGUGAUUAUUUUUAAUGCUCGGAUCUAAGUUAAUUGAAACCUAAUUGUUAACUUAAUACUAAAAUUGUUAUACCUAAGUUAUAUGAUUGGGAGUAAUGCUCCUGAAGUAUUGUCAAAGUGAAAGAUUUUAUUAUGUGCGAAAAACAAUAAAUACUGUACAAAGUA
RNA transcript from Cephus cinctus (wheat stem sawfly), 3205 nucleotides. It is a transcript of the gene named egl nine homolog 1, with no coding region annotated. The record is from RefSeq and is a predicted model, not a curated record. The transcript is spliced from 5 exons. Lineage: Eukaryota; Metazoa; Arthropoda; Insecta; Hymenoptera; Cephidae.